This 765-nucleotide ribosomal RNA is filed under the name uncultured Streptococcus sp. RNAcentral describes it as "bacterial SSU rRNA". It matches the Rfam family "Bacterial small subunit ribosomal RNA", at positions 28 to 776 of the family's 1533-position model. Lineage: Bacteria; Bacillati; Bacillota; Bacilli; Lactobacillales; Streptococcaceae. The record is from RNAcentral.
GACGAACGCUGGCGGCGUGCCUAAUACAUGCAGGUAGAACGCUGAAGAGAGGAGCUUGCUCUUCUUGGAAGGGUUGCGAACGGGUGAGUAACGCGUAGGUAACCUGCCUUGUAGCGGGGGAUAACUAUUGGAAACGAUAGCUAAUACCGCAUAACAAUGGGUGACCCAUGUCAUUCAUUUGAAAGGGGCAACUGCUCCACUACAAGAUGGACCUGCGUUGUAUUAGCUAGUAGGUGAGGUAACGGCUCACCUAGGCGACGAUACAUAGCCGACCUGAGAGGGUGAUCGGCCACACUGGGACUGAGACACGGCCCAGACUCCUACGGGAGGCAGCAGUAGGGAAUCUUCGACAAUGGGGGCAACCCUGACCGAGCAACGCCGCGUGAGUGAAGAAGGUUUUCGGAUCGUAAAGCUCUGUUGUAAGUCAAGAACGAGUGUGAGAGUGGAAAGUUCACACUGUGACGGUAGCUUACCAGAAAGGGACGGCUAACUACGUGCCAGCAGCCGCGGUAAUACGUAGGUCCCGAGCGUUGUCCGGAUUUAUUGGGCGUAAAGCGAGCGCAGGCGGUUUGAUAAGUCUGAAGUUAAAGGCUGUGGCUCAACCAUAGUUCGCUUUGGAAACUGUCAAACUUGAGUGCAGAAGGGGAGAGUGGAAUUCCAUGUGUAGCGGUGAAAUGCGUAGAUAUAUGGAGGAACACCGGUGGCGAAAGCGGCUCUCUGGUCUGUAACUGACGCUGAGGCUCGAAAGCGUGGGGAGCGAACAGG